This 490-nucleotide ribosomal RNA is filed under the name uncultured bacterium. RNAcentral describes it as "partial 16S ribosomal RNA". It matches the Rfam family "Bacterial small subunit ribosomal RNA", at positions 30 to 507 of the family's 1533-position model. The record is from RNAcentral.
AUUGAACGCUGGCGGCAGGCCUAACACAUGCAAGUCGAACGGUAACAGGAAGCAGCUUGCUGCUUCGCUGACGAGUGGCGGACGGGUGAGUAAUGUCUGGGAAGCUGCCUGAUGGAGGGGGAUAACUACUGGAAACGGUAGCUAAUACCGCAUAAUGUCGCAAGACCAAAGAGGGGGACCUUCGGGCCUCUGGCCAUCGGAUGUGCCCAGAUGGGAUUAGCUUGUUGGUGGGGUAACGGCUCACCAAGGCGACGAUCCCUAGCUGGUCUGAGAGGAUGACCAGCCACACUGGAACUGAGACACGGUCCAGACUCCUACGGGAGGCAGCAGUGGGGAAUAUUGCACAAUGGGCGCAAGCCUGAUGCAGCCAUGCCGCGUGUAUGAAGAAGGCCUUCGGGUUGUAAAGUACUUUCAGCGGGGAGGAAGGGAGUAAAGUUAAUACCUUUGCUCAUUGACGUUACCCGCAGAAGAAGCACCGGCUAACUCCGUG